Molecule: ribosomal RNA, 538 nt
Filed under: Pseudomonas sp.
Lineage: Bacteria; Pseudomonadati; Pseudomonadota; Gammaproteobacteria; Pseudomonadales; Pseudomonadaceae
Description: bacterial SSU rRNA
Rfam family: Bacterial small subunit ribosomal RNA
Source: RNAcentral
CCUACGGGGUGGCUUGCAGUGGGGAAUAUUGGACUAUGGGCUGAAAGUCCUGAUCCAGCCAUGCCGCGUGUGUGAAUGAUAGGUCGUCGGAUUGUAAAGUCACUUUAAGUUGGGAGUGAUAGGGCAUUAAUCCUAAUACGUUAGUGUUUGUUGACGUUACCGAUCAGAAUAAKCACCGGCUAACUCUUGUGUCCAGCAGCUCGCGGUUAAUACAGAGGGUGCAAGCGUUAAUCGGAAUUACUGGGCGUAAAGCGCGCGUAGUGUGGUUUGUUAAGUUGGAUGUGAAAGCCCCGGGCUCAACCUGGGAACGUUGCUUGCCGAGAAACUGGGCAUAGCCUAAGAAAGUAUCCGGGUUAGGAGUGGGUUGGGUUGGGGAUAUUGGUGCCCUUGGUGGGUAGGCCGGGUGGGAAAAUGGCGGUUAGUAUUAUUAGGGAAGGGAAACACCAGUGGGCGAAGGCGACCAUCCUGGACUGAUACUGACUAUCUGAGGUGCGAAAGCGUUGGGGAGCAAACAGUGAUUAGAUACCCGUGUGUAGGU